This 329-nucleotide unclassified non-coding RNA is filed under the name soil metagenome. RNAcentral describes it as "partial contains 5.8S ribosomal RNA, internal transcribed spacer 2, and large subunit ribosomal RNA". The stretch from base 1 to 120 matches the Rfam family "5.8S ribosomal RNA", at positions 35 to 154 of the family's 154-position model. The record is from RNAcentral.
GAUGAAGAACGCAGCGAAAUGCGAUAAGUAGUGUGAAUUGCAGAAUUCAGUGAAUCAUCGAAUCUUUGAACGCACAUUGCGCCCCUUGGUAUCCCGAGGGGCAUGCCUGUUCGAGCGUCAUUUCACUACUCAAGCCUGGCUUGGUGUUGGGCGACGUCCCCUUUGGGGACGCGCCUCGAAACGCUCGGCGGCGUGGCACCGGCUUUAAGCGUAGCAGAAUCUUUCGCUUUGGAAGUCGGGGCCCCGUCUGCCGGAAGACCUACUCGCAAGGUUGACCUCGGAUCAGGCAGGGAUACCCGCUGAACUUAAGCAUAUCAAUAAGCGGAGGA